CCGUUCAAUUUCAGGAUCAAGAGGAAGGAGCUUGUUUGCUUUUCUACUCCUCUGCAUUUAAGAGAAUAGCCUGCGUUAGCACAAACAAGGUAAACUGAAAAUUAACACUUGAGCAAAUAACUAAUAAAAGCUUAUAUCAGCAAAGUAGCUAAUUUUUAAGAACCCGGCAACAGCGCCAAAAACUUGUUGCUCCCAAAUGCACACGCAAGUAUACAUCGUCAUACAAGUAAUAAAAUGAUAAGUCGAGUGUCGAUUCCACAUAGACUUAUAUCAACUACUCACCGUCCCACCUCCUUUUCCUACCCCCGGAAGGGUAUAAAGGAGUUUUUUCCAACUUAAAUUGACCAAUCAAAAUAGGAUUAUUUUAUUUAAAAUAUAGAGUCGACACUUGAAAAAAUUUAUGGUGUCUCAAGUUACCGGUUUAAAUUCUGAAUCGAGGAAAGAUUGACUUUAUUUUACAGUUCGUGAAAACAGAAAUCUGGGUAAGAAAUUUUGCUAACUCAAGAGAGAAGGUAUUAGGCAUUCCCGGGUUUUGUCGUUUUAGCAUGGUCGCUCAGUUGUUAUUACUGGCUCCAUUAUUUGAUUUUAAAAUGAUUUUAAACCUAUGUGCAUUUUUAAAUUUUUAGCCGCUUUUAAUAUUUCGGAAAAAUUUAAAGUUAUUUAAAACUAUCAUAAGCCACGCUACAUGAAAUGCACUCGCGGUUCACGACAUAUCCUAUUUAACCUUGUUGGAAAUUAGAAUCGGGUCACAUGAAAUGCAUGUCCGGAUUGUUAACAACUGUAAUAAUUAUAUAACAUAUGCGCCUAAAGCAACUAUGAAGUUCGUUUUUAAUAUCUACAUUAAAACAUGUGUGAAGGUCGUAGACUAGGUGAUUGUAUGACAUACCUCAAUUUUAUUAAAGGAGGUAGCAUUUAACUAAGUGAACUCCAAAUAUUCAUACUUAACUAAUUAGAUAUCACAGCUACAAGAAAGUAAAAUUGAUAUCAGCUCUGCAUUAGAUCACAAAGUCAGUGAUUCUCCUUAGUCUUGUGACUAUGUCCUAUUACAAAGCUAACCACGAUCUACAACUAGCGAGUUCCAAUUUACAGUAGUUCUAAUUCCAGCCUCACGUAUAACUCAUUCCAACAUGGGUUAACCUCAUUGAUUUUAAUCUUGCGAGUUGGCAGACUUCCACAUUUGGCACAACUACGCAUGACCUCAACGAAAAUUAAUUUGGAGAUGAUAAUUGUUUCCUUGCACACAGAUCUUUUUGCUAUUUUAUAUGUCGACUUUAACAAAAACCAUUAUUAGGUUAUAUGAACAAACAUGGUAUCCUAACUUAAAAAACCUACUAACACAAGUACCCAACAAAUUAAUCCAUAAUAAAGAUGAAUAAGAUUAAGAUCACUUAAAGAGCAAAAUAAGAAUUCUAUUACAUGUGUUACUAAACAUUCUUACACUACCCAGAAGACGUUCAAUUUUCAAAGAAGCAGACUAACGAACCAAGUCUCUAGCAGACUUCAGAAACGAGAGAAACGAUUUACACAUUUACACAAGAUCUACUUUGGUGGCUAGCUAUAGAAAUCUGAUCAAUCCCUUUUAACAAUUCAACAUUAAUGAUCCAAUAACACCAAAAAUUGAUAAAUGAAAUAAAAUCACACAUGAAAGCAUGCUAACAAACAAAUGGAGAUCCAUCAACAACAUUCAUCAAGCUAUUGUAUUAAGAUGGGAUAAGAACAAAAGAACCUUUUAUUGAUGCAUCUGAGCUUCGAUUCCUUGAUAAAAUUUGAAGUUAAAACACCAACAAAACUGCGUCCAAGACUUCAACAGAAGCUUGACCAAUCCUCCUUGAAUUCGACCACGACGAACACCUCGACUCGAUUCUUUGACUUUGGACUGGAAUGCUCGACUUCAAACAAAAUCAAGCAGCUUGCCUCCAUGAAUUCCGAUUGAGGAUGAACUGAAGCUUUGUGUAACAAGUAGUUCUGAAACUCAAGAAUCGAUUUGUAACUGACUGGAUAUGGGGGUUAAUUUUUGUUGGUUUCCAUCGAAACUCGUCGGCAAUGGAGGUGAGACUGAAACAAAAGAGAAAGGGAUUUGGAAGGGUGAUAUCGUCUCCUUAUUUUCGUUCCCCUCGUUCUCUAUUACGCUUCGGCUGUUGGAAUGGAUAUGGGUCGCUGGGUAUGGGGAAUCCGCUGGGUUCUAGUUUUUGUGAGAGGCGGGGUGUGUGAGGAAGAUAAAGUUUCAGGGGUUGGGGUUCUUGUGUUCUCAGCGGUGCUUCUGAUGCCUAAGGGUCUUAGAGUCUAUUUUAGGUCCAAU
This 2299-nucleotide long non-coding RNA is filed under the name Nicotiana benthamiana. RNAcentral describes it as "long non-coding RNA (NBEN_LNC041202)". The record is from RNAcentral. Lineage: Eukaryota; Viridiplantae; Streptophyta; Magnoliopsida; Solanales; Solanaceae.